This 497-nucleotide ribosomal RNA is filed under the name uncultured bacterium. RNAcentral describes it as "partial 16S ribosomal RNA". It matches the Rfam family "Bacterial small subunit ribosomal RNA", at positions 28 to 507 of the family's 1533-position model. The record is from RNAcentral.
GAUGAACGCUGGCGGCGUGCCUAAUACAUGCAAGUCGAGCGAACGGACGAGAAGCUUGCUUCUCUGAUGUUAGCGGCGGACGGGUGAGUAACACGUGGAUAACCUACCUAUAUGACUGGGAUAACUUCGGGAAACCGGAGCUAAUACCGGAUAAUAUUUUGAACCGCAUGGUUCAAAAGUGAAAGACGGUCUUGCUGUCACUUCUAGCUGGAUCCGCGCUGCAUUAGCUAGUUGUUAAGGUAACGGCUUACCAAGGCAACAAUGCCUAGCCGACCUGAGAGGGUGAUCGGCCACGAUGGGACGAAGAGACGGUCCAGACUCCUAAGGGAGGCAGCAGUAGGGAAUCUUGCGCAAUGGGCGAAAGCCUGACGAAGGAACGACGCGUGAGUGAGGAAGGUAUUCGGAUCGUAAAACUCUGUUAUUAGGGAAGAACAUAUGUGUAAGGAACUGUGCACAUCUUGACGGUACCUAAUCAGAAAGCCACGGCUAACUACGUG